AGAGUUUGAUCCUGGCUCAGGAUGAACGCUGGCGGCGUGCUUAACACAUGCAAGUCGAACGAAGCGCUUGAGAAGAUUUCUUCGGAAUGAAACUUAAGUGACUGAGUGGCGGACGGGUGAGUAACGCGUGGGUAACCUGCCUCAUACAAGGGGAUAACAGUCAGAAAUGACUGCUAAUACCGCAUAAGCGCACAGUACCGCAUGGUACGGUGUGAAAAACUCCGGUGGUAUGGGAUGGACCCGCGUCUGAUUAGCUAGUUGGUGGGGUAACGGCCUACCAAGGCGACGAUCAGUAGCCGGCCUGAGAGGGCGACCGGCCACAUUGGGACUGAGACACGGCCCAAACUCCUACGGGAGGCAGCAGUGGGGAAUAUUGCACAAUGGGGGAAACCCUGAUGCAGCGACGCCGCGUGAGCGAAGAAGUAUUUCGGUAUGUAAAGCUCUAUCAGCAGGGAAGAAAAUGACGGUACCUGACUAAGAAGCCCCGGCUAACUACGUGCCAGCAGCCGCGGUAAUACGUAGGGGGCAAGCGUUAUCCGGAUUUACUGGGUGUAAAGGGAGCGUAGACGGACUGGCAAGUCUGAUGUGAAAACCCGGGGCUCAACCCCGGGACUGCAUUGGAAACUGUCAGUCUAGAGUGUCGGAGGGGUAAGUGGAAUUCCUAGUGUAGCGGUGAAAUGCGUAGAUAUUAGGAGGAACACCAGUGGCGAAGGCGGCUUACUGGACGAUAACUGACGUUGAGGCUCGAAAGCGUGGGGAGCAAACAGGAUUAGAUACCCUGGUAGUCCACGCCGUAAACGAUGAAAUCUAGGGGUUGGGAAGCAAAGCUUUUGGGGCCCCCAGCCAACCCAUUAAGUAUUUUCCCCCGGGGAGUACUUUGCAAGAAUGAACCUCAAAGAAUUGGACGGGGACCCCCCACAGCCGUGGAGCAUGGGUUUAAUUCGAAGCAACGCGAGGAACUUUACCAGGUCUGGACAUCCCGAUGACGGGCCGUACGGGGGCCUUUCUUCGGAGCAUNGGAGACAGUGGGUGCAUGGUNGUCGUCAGCUCGUGUCGUGAGAUGUUGGUUAAGUCCCGCAACGAGCGCAACCCUUAUCUUCAGUAGCCAGCAGGUCAAGCUGGGCACUCUGUGGAGACUGCCAGGGAUAACCUGGAGGAAGGUGGGGAUGACGUCAAAUCAUCAUGCCCCUUAUGAUCUGGGCUACACACGUGCUACAAUGGCGUAAACAAAGGGAGGCAAAGCCGCGAGGUGGAGCAAAUCCCAAAAAUAACGUCUCAGUUCGGACUGCAGUCUGCAACUCGACUGCACGAAGCUGGAAUCGCUAGUAAUCGCGAAUCAGAAUGUCGCGGUGAAUACGUUCCCGGGUCUUGCACACACCGCCCGUCA
This 1387-nucleotide ribosomal RNA is filed under the name uncultured bacterium. Its description in RNAcentral is "16S ribosomal RNA". It matches the Rfam family "Bacterial small subunit ribosomal RNA". The record is from RNAcentral.